Long non-coding RNA from Hibiscus syriacus, 239 nucleotides. RefSeq lists it as uncharacterized. NCBI's taxonomy places the organism in Eukaryota, Viridiplantae, Streptophyta, Magnoliopsida, Malvales, Malvaceae. The transcript has 3 exons. The record is from RefSeq and is a predicted model, not a curated record.
AAACCGUUUCACACAAAUCUCCUUAUCCUAGUCAAUCUCACGUCAAAUUUCCUACUAAAAAUAAAUCAGUUUUGUUGCUACCAUCAGAAGGCGGUAUUCAAUCGAAUUAAUAACACAAAACACUACAAAACUUAUUAAAGAGAAACACUGGAAAACUGAUCAAACCUGCAAGAAACGAUCAGGUGAUUAGUGCUCUUGAAUAAACCAACAAAGUGACUUAACUACAAUAUAAACUUUAG